This is a long non-coding RNA of Passer domesticus (house sparrow), 5168 nucleotides long. RefSeq lists it as uncharacterized. The record is from RefSeq and is a predicted model, not a curated record. The transcript has 3 exons. Lineage: Eukaryota; Metazoa; Chordata; Aves; Passeriformes; Passeridae.
CACGGCUGUGCUCCUCUGGCAGCCCCUCUGCUGCGGAGCACAGUGAGAUCUUAAUGGAAAAAGGCUCCCCUUGUAACCUAAAUGUUUGCAUGAUGCAGCUGCAAAAGCCGUCCGUAGUUACUGAGACAAAUUAAUGAGGUGAAGCAUCAGGGUCUUGGUGAAUCGCAGGCUGGCCGUAAGCCGGCGGUGCUCUGUGGGCAGGAAAGGCAGUGGUGUCCUGGGGAUGCCAUCGGGAGCAGCGUGGCCAGCAGGCCGAGGGCUGAUCCUGCCCCUCCACUGGGCCCUGCUGAGGCCGUGUGCAGGGCUGGGCGCCUCACUACAAGAAAGACAAGCUACUGGAGAGGGUUCAGUGGAGGCCACAAGGAUGAUGAGAGGUCUGGAGCAUCUCUUGAGGAGAGACUGCAGGAGCUGGGCCUGUUUAGUCUGCAGAGGGAAAUCUGGGAGGGGGUCUCAGUGCAUCAUCUCAAAGGUGUCAGAGGAUGGUGUUGGACCUUUUUUGGUGGUGCCCAGCAACAAGACAAGAAGUAAUGGCCAUCAACUAAAACAAGAAGUUCCACCUUGACACGAAGAACUGUUGUUUACCCUGAGAGUGGCAGAGCAGUGGGUCAGGCUACCGAGGGAGGUCAUGAAGUUUGUCUUGAGACAAAAACCCACCUGGAUACAUUCCUGUGUCACCUCCAGGUGACCCUUGCCUCAGCACGGAGGUUGGACCAGAUGAUCUCCAGAGGUCCCUUCCAACCCUAACAAUUCUGUGAUUUGCUUUUUUGAUUUAAAAGCAGUCAAGUAAUUCCACAGUCUUAGGUGAGCUGUAAUUAAACAGGUGUGGGAUGAUAGAUCUUGAUGUGUGGAAAGGGCUAAUAAUCUGAAAGGGUGGUGCUUCAUACUGGAGUGGGGAAACUGGAGUAGUGUGGUAAGCAACCAGCAUAAUUCUGAAUAUGUGUAUGCAUAUACUUGUAGGCUUCACUGAAGCCUUGCCAUAAUAGAAGAUCAGGAUAAAUGUUUACUGGGCAGGAGCGUAAUUGUCUGAGGAAAAACAUGAUUGAACAGUAAAACAGGAAGCUAAUAAAGGGUAGUGUGUAUUAAAAAAAAAAAAAAUCUGGGGACAUACAUGAUCAUAAUGAUACUUUUUUUUUUUUGCUAGACUGAGUUCAGCUCAGUUUGUUAGAGCAUGAUGCUAAUAAUGCCAAGAUUUUAAUGUGGGUUUGAUCCCCAUAUAGUUCAAUCAUUUAAGACCUAUCCUUGCAGGUCCCUUCCAACUCAGUAUAUUCUGUCGUUCUGUGAGCCUGUCUAGCAAGGUUUAGAAAGAGAAACAGUAUUUCUCUUUCAAAGUAUUGAGAAAUACAUUGCCAAGGGCACGAAAGGUGUGUUUGCAAGCUUGUGAGGGAAAAUACAUAUUUCUGAGGUCUCUGGGGCUUAGCAGGCAACCAAUAAAAAUACCUUUUGUUUCAAAACUGGCCUUCCAUUUGAAUUUAACUUUCUAAUAUAAGCAGUUUUAAUUCAUGCAUGUUCUUCUGAUAAAGUCUUUAUCUCAAAAACUUUACCAGGUCCUAAAGAAUAAUGUUUUGCACCAUUUCUUGAGUGAUGCUCUGAGCCUCUUCUGCUCUCAUUGUUUCAGAGUAUUCUUGCAGUGGAGGUGAUUUUCAGAUUUUAUGCAGUAAUAUAAGUUUUGCCUCUAGAUUUAAGUUCUGGUUUUUUUCCUACCUCUGUGGACCACGUGUAACACUAACUCAGUGGUAAACUACUUCUGCAUACAGUAGACAAGUUAACACAUUUCUUUGGUAUUACUACACACCUAGGUACCUACAAGCCUGAAAUCACACCCCUCCCUCAAAAGCUCUGUUGGUUUCUACAACUUGAAAAUUCUCUUUUUUUUUUCAUCACUACAGAAGAACUCUUAAAAUUCAGGUAAUAGUCUCCCCCUUGUUGCAUAUUCUCCAGGAGCUCUGAGAAUAUAUGAUGUACUGUUCCACACUCAGUAGAGGUUGUCAUUUUUCCUGCUGCCCCUAAAUUUGGAACAGCAGCUUGUCUGUUGCCUUUUAGCAAACUUCACAAUGCUAUCAACUGUUCCUAUUAGCCGGACAAAAUUCCCUGUCUUUUGUAAACAUACUCAAUUCUUACUCUCAUUGUUUGUAUGCUAAUACCUAGGGGAUGAUUUUCCAAGUCAUUCUUCAGAAUUUCCUUUCUAAUUAGUAGCAGAUGAAAAAUGCUCUAUAUGCACUGAAUGUUGUAGCUAAUGAUGACUAAUUAAGGUGCUGCUAAAACAAAAAUCUUAGUUCCUUAUUAUGUUUCACUGAGUAACAUAACUAGAGAUUUCAAAGUCUCACAGGUAUUUCUUACAUGUUGCUUUUGGAAACAGUCUUUCUGUGAUUUUUAUUUUAUUUUCUAAAUGGCCCCUUCUUUUAAGUUUUAUUUUACUCUGCUCCUGGUGAUCUGGUUUAUAUACAUCUGCUAUGAUCAGAUCUCUUUUUUAAAACCUGUGUUUAAGUAACUAUGAAUUUAAACUGGAUGCACUUCAAUAGUACCCAAACUACAUUGAGUUUUACCUGAGGAGGACCACCUCAACUCCAGGUGAAUCCAGACUUUUAACAUGAUAGCUCUGUUCCUUCAUAUUCCCUCUGAUUUAGUUGGAAGAACAAAGGAUCCUGCACAAAGCUGGGACCUAUGAGGGAAAAUUACUCAUGUGGAUGUUGACACAUAGGAAAGUCUCUGAGAACAAAACAAAAAGGUUGCAAUGAAAAUACUUGCCAAGGCAUUAAAUGUAGAGAUUGAGAAACAAGUAAUUGCUGAAAACACUUUAAAAGAAAAAGACUUGCUCUUAUUACCUUGCUGAAUUAAACACUUGUGUUGAGUCUGGCUGAGGUGGGAUAGUUUUCCCACAGCAUUUCUCACAGUGCUGUGCUUUGCAUUGGUAGCUGGAAGGGUGUCAGUAACACUGCAGUGUUUUGGCUGCUGCUGAGUAGCCCUCCACAUCAUCAAGGCUGUUUCUCCAACAUUUCCCCUGCCAGGAGGCUGAGGUGGGCAAGAUCUUGGGAGGGGACACAGCCAGGGCAGCUGACCCACUGACCAGAGGAUAUUCUGUAACAUAAGGUAUCUGCUCAGAUACAGCAUCUAAGAAGGCUGGAGAAGGAAGGGUGUGGGGAGGAGAGAGACAGGUAUUUGUUAAUAACAAAUUUAUUAUUUGUUUGUCUUCUAAAGCAACUGGUACACACAUUGAAGUCCUGUUUCCUGAGAAACAGCUGGACAUCACCUGCUAAUGGGAAGUAGAGAAUAGAUCUUGUGUUUUCAUUUGCUUUUAUGCAGUCUUUUUUUUUAUCAAACUGCCUUUAUCUUGAUCCAUGAGGAUUUUGUCCAGCUUAUUUUCUCCCACACUCUUCUGCUGAGAAGGGGAAUGAUAGAGUGGCUUAGUCAGUGCCUGGUGUCCAGCCAGGGUCAACCCACCACAAUUCUGCUGUGCAACACCUGUGCAAUCAAGCAUAAGGAUACAAAAUAACAUAGCAGCUGAGACCUUUUAGAGGGUGGUAACUGUGCUGGGAGAAGGGGACAAACUGCAGUGAAGAUAUUUUUCCCCUAAUAUUUAGAGCUCUGAAAGAAUGUGAAGACAGUGGUAGCUACCCCUGGUACUUCAUUUAAUGCCAGAGGGUCAAUAGUCUACUGCUUUCCUGCCAUCAAAGCAGGAAGCAUUAACUUCAUUUCUAUUCUGGACAUAAGCCUGAGGGGACCAAAUACAUUUGGCAGCUUUGCUUAGUUCUCACAAAGACUGAAGAUAGUUUCACAUGUGCAUUACAUUGCUGUACUUGUCACAGCUUUCUUCAAAACUUCUCUGGUUAGGUCUCACCACAUUUCUAUCAGCUGAGGCAUACAUGCCAUGUGAUGUCUUUUGGGUUAUGUGUUAUGCUCCCAAUCUAGGAGAGCCAUUUUCCAGUGAAAUAGGAAACAUGAGGUGCCAGAACUGUGUCAGCAGAUUCACACAUGAAGCACCUAGCUAAUAUUUAGCACCAUCUUAAUUUUCACAGGCGAGGCUUUGAGUCAGUUUGUGAAGCUCUAUGCAGUAACAGAUCUCUGUUGCCACAUCUCAAGCCAAGAGGAUGGUCAUCAGCAGCAGAGGAGCUGAAAGACCUGAGGCCAGGUUUGUCCCUGGCUCUCUAACAUUGUAUGCUGUAUUUCUUUAACAAGAGUUUAUCUGCAGAUGAGGAACAUUCCUGACACAGAAGAAGCCAGCUGAGAAGAACAUACUGUUAGUUAAUCCUGUGGAAAAGCACUGGAAGCUGGAAAUACAAAGAAAAUCUGAGAGAACCAAGAGAAACGUGAAGAUGGGCUGUGGGAGAGAACCACUAGAGACAUACAGAGAAGGUGAUACAGAGGAAAAGUAUGGUUUUACUGUCUCCAAAACACAGAACCCAUUCUGCAUGAGUUGGGUUUCAUUUCUGUGCACAGAGGUCCAAAACAAUUUUGUGUCAGUGUUUAAGUUAGUCUUUGCAGGUUUUCAGACAUGCACAUGCAUUUAAUUUGCAAAGCCUUUUGACUGUACAAGUUUAACUGUGCUUCUUGAACUAGCCCAUCUCAUUUAAAUUAAUUUCCCUGAAAAACCUCCUCUUUUUCCAGUUCACCCUUCUGUUUCCCCAUCAAAGCCCAAAAGGUAGUGAUUUCCUUUCCUUCCCCUAUUCCCAGCUUAAAUGCCUUGUAUCUCCACCUCUCUCCCAAUCCACAGGGCAGGUGUUCUGCAUGGUUUUUAGGGCAGUGGGUGUAUACUUCAGCAAGGGCAAUGGGUUGGGGCAAGAGACACUCCAAAUUUGAAACUCCUCACUUGAGUCCCAACUGCUGACACCCUGGUAAAGCAAUGGAUUUAGGGCAGGAAACAUCUAAACAGCUACAUGUUUCACUGUGUAGUUCUGAGGUUGUUCUGAAAGGCACUGCCUUUCCUGCAUAUUUCCUAGGUUGGGAGACACCAAACUUUUGGCUUGGAAAUUCCUCUGAUGAUCCUCCUGUGCAUAGGAUCACAAAGAUAUGUUAUGCUGUGCUAUUUAAGCAUGUAAGUCUAUGGACAGUAAUUGUGAAGUAAAACUGUGAUUCAGAGGAAAGAUUGUCAAAUCAUUAAAUCAUUUGUAAUUUAUAUUACCUACCCUACAUUUUGAGUUUAUCUGUAUUGUUUAUAUGGAAAUAAACAGAAA